GACGAACGCUGGCGGCGUGCCUAACACAUGCAAGUCGAACGGAAACGCCUGCUUUCCUUGGUGUUUUGCGGGUACUCGAGCGGCCAACGGGUGAGUAACACGUGAGUGAUCUGCCCCCAACUUGUGUAUAAGCCUGGGAAACUGGGUCUAAUUAUCGAUCGGACUGCAGGGUGGAGGCUGUGGUCGAAAACGACGCUCUAGUGGUUGGGGAUGAGCUCGCAGCUUAUCAGCUUGUUGGUGGGGUAACGGCCUGCCAAGGCGUCGUCGGGUAGCCGGCAUGAUGGGGUGGACGGCCACAUUGGGACUGCGGUACAGCCCACGAUGCGACGGGGGACAGCAGUGGGGAGUAUUGCACAAUGGGGCGUAGCCCGAUGCAGCGACGCGGCGGGAGGGAUGACGGGCUUCGGGUUGUAAACUUCUUUCGACCGCGAGGAAGCCACCUGGUUGGAAGCGUGGUGGCGGUAGUGGUAGAAGAAGCACCGGCUAACUACGUG
This 494-nucleotide ribosomal RNA is filed under the name uncultured bacterium. RNAcentral describes it as "partial 16S ribosomal RNA". It matches the Rfam family "Bacterial small subunit ribosomal RNA", at positions 28 to 507 of the family's 1533-position model. The record is from RNAcentral.